AUAAACAACUCAGCUCCUGGUAAUUUUCUCCCCUCUGGAUAGAGCCAAGUGGAAAUUGCUGCUAGUGGAUAUGCUACAGCUGCUUGUGACAUUCUGAGAAGGUGGAUAUUUGCAAAUAAUACAGUUCACUUGACCCUCGCUGCUUGGCAAUGAAAGAAAAACAAUCUGAAGUACUUUCUUGGGGUUUUGGAGAGAUUGACAGGAAAAUGUCUUCAGAGCAAACGCACGCCAGAUGGAAUGAAAACGGUUUAUUGGAGUAUGGAGGUGCUGCUGAACUGAAUAGAGGGCGGGUUUAAGGGAAAAUGCCUGACUGCAUUGCACUUUUACAAGGCCCAAAACUCUUGAGCCAACUACAGUGAAAUGGUGAACAAAAAGCCAGUCUAAUACAGCAGGAUGUUCCUUCACAGUAUUUUAGAAAAAUAAAAAAAAAACCAAAUUAAGAAAAAGAAAAAAA
This 454-nucleotide long non-coding RNA is filed under the name Serinus canaria (Common canary). RNAcentral's name for it is "lncRNA (ENSSCAG00000007377.1)". The record is from RNAcentral. Lineage: Eukaryota; Metazoa; Chordata; Aves; Passeriformes; Fringillidae.